CGGUACAGUUCGUCCUUAUUACAUUCUUAGUGUUCAACUGCCUGAGCCCCAACCUCCAACUGCCAGUCACAGUAGAAUUUCCAAAAGUCCAUCUGUUCCCUUCCAGGCUCUCAUUCCUCCUCCUUGGAAGGGUUCCUUCUUGUUUCCAAGUAGCUUUUGGGAGGCUGAAGUUGUCUGGCUCCGUACAGGAUCAACACGCUGACUGGAGCAGAGAGGCCCCAGCGGCUGAGCUGUUGCCGGCCUUUGAGAGUUAUGCCUGAAGCUCGGCACAGGACAGUAGAUACUUUCAUACUUACUUACAGAAAUAGAAGGAGAUGCUAUUGAUAAGACUUUGGACGCUGAUGGCUGGACACUCCAUUAUAGUUACCUUGAACAUGAACCCAAAAAUGAACAUCUAAAUUAGUUCCUUGAGAGCAUUCAAGAAAAAAGCCAAUCACAUCUAUGUAACAUGUAAACAGCAUCCAUUUCCCGUUGAUGAUCCCAAACGUGGACUCUCAGCAAAGGGGAAUGAUGCUUCCCUCAGCACCGGGAGGGAAGAAGAGCCAGGCUCCUACUGCUUCUCAGAGGGAUUUGCCUCAAAGUGUGAUUCUAAUCAACACAUGAGUGAGGAAGAGGGGAUGGGACCGAAUCGCAACAAGGCACGCUAGCCACAUCUGAAUCCAGAUGUUGGUUGCUGGUGACAACAAGCUGCCUUCUUUGUUUAAUGAGGCCACCGACAAGCUGAACUCCAAGGAAACUCUGACGAUAGAGAGCAACACUC
RNAcentral lists this long non-coding RNA (760 nucleotides) under Equus asinus (donkey). Its description in RNAcentral is "lncRNA (ENSEASG00005036862.1)". The record is from RNAcentral. Lineage: Eukaryota; Metazoa; Chordata; Mammalia; Perissodactyla; Equidae.